This is a long non-coding RNA of Empidonax traillii (willow flycatcher), 2102 nucleotides long. RefSeq lists it as uncharacterized. The record is from RefSeq and is a predicted model, not a curated record. The transcript has 4 exons. Lineage: Eukaryota; Metazoa; Chordata; Aves; Passeriformes; Tyrannidae.
CAUCGCUCCACCCAGCACUGCCUUGCAGCUACCUCUGUGGUAGUGGCAGUGCUUUAGUGGCAGUGCUCCUAAAUAACAAAUGUAGGACAAAACGAAUCUCUGCACAGGAAAGCUACAAGGUGCACCUGUCCAAGAUGGAAGAGAGCCAGGGCAAAGGCAGAGCUCACAGCCCCUGGCUUUCCAGGGACAUCAUAAGCUGAGGCUCUGGCUGUAGUUCUUCCAAGAAAAGUUUUCUACACUGCUGGCAGUUGCAGUUUUCUCAGAAGCCUUGUUCACUCUGUGUUUUCCUUAAACCUGCUACUGGAGUCAUGGGAUGAUGCAGCAGCCCCAGUUUGCAUACCAAAAUGCUUUUUUCUCCUGACCAUUUGUAGUUUUCCAGGAGAGAAAGAAACAUACAUGAAAGGGGGAACAAUAAGAUCUCAAAUCCUAAAGGAUGACUCCUGCUCUCCUUUCAAAAUGGACUCCAAGACCUAAUUUUCUGAGAGGUUUGUCUCUUAUUUUGAACACUGGGACCAACAGCACUGCGAGCAGGACAUAGUGUCACCAGCCCCUGGUAGCUCCCCUAAGGCAGUAGCCCCAACCCACAGAAGGGCCUCCCAUGACAGUGGAGACUUCCAGUAUGGCUCAUUGCUCCUGUAUUUUGCUUUCUGCAGAUACAUCCUGCCUUUGCUGGGCAGGGAUGGCCUGGUGCAACCCUGCCUGCUGAAUGCACAGGGAUUGGUGCUGUUGCCUGUUGCCAGAAUGGAGCCACUGCCCUCAUGUGGGAUCCACAGAGGCUGAGGAAGAGCAGCCUGGCUCCCAGCCCACUCCAAUCCACCUGCAGCCCCUCCAGAGAGACACAGCUGCUACCUUAGGACAAGCCACAACCUUACACUACAGCCACUGUAGGGCCAACCAGACCUUUUGGGAAUCCCCCUCUCUCCAACCCUUUAACUGUAUGCUCAUUUGAUAUGCUCCCAGGACUGAAGCCCCACACAUAGAAUUACCUGCAGGCACUUGGUGGGAUCCCAUGUCUGCCUUCCUUCUUACCUGUUACGUUCAGCUGCCCACCCAGGAACCAGGACACCCUGCCCUGGUGCAGAUCACAGUCCUGGACGGAGUGGAAGGGGGUGAUCCAGGGGUCACAAGAGAGGGGCAGAAAAAGGCUCUCCCUGCAAGCAGAACUAUUCUGAGUCAGGUACACUGAUGGGAUGAUCAACAGCAGACAUGAGAGGUUGGACACCAGUAUGGGGGACAGGAACUAUCUGCCAUCAGGUACACUCAUCCCACUCUAUACACUUGGUUUGUAUCAGAGCUGCCCCAAGAAAAUGGCACAUAAAUCACAGAUGCUGGAUGACUAGAAGUUAUUACAGCUCCAUAUCUCAAACACCUCAAUACUGAAUUCUUUUCUCACUGUAUAUACAUUAUUUACACCCCAUGGGCUAUCAUCUAACACGUCAAACGACCAGGGGACAAAGACGAACAGGGGUUGGAUGAGCAGGCUGAACAUUUGACAGAAGAAGAACUGUUGGGAAAGGGUGCUCACAGCUGAAAGCAGGACAGAAAGGGGCACCUGGAAGUCACUGUCCUACAGCUUUUGGAGGGAGAAUAGUGCCUUACUGGGAUAGAAGGGUGAUGGUACCUUGGAGUGGUUUUGACUGCGUGAGUUUGAAUGUGCUUAUAUGGCAUGUAUGUACACGUUACAGGGUGUAUCAGAGUGAUGUGCAUGGCUGUCAUUCCCUUUAACACUCAGAGUGUGAGCUGGACAAAUUUAAAUCAAUAAAUACAUUAGGUGGAUGUUGUUGUCUCACCUGCAAUAAUGUAUUCAGUAAAUAAUUUGACUAUCUGGCCUCUCUGCAAGAGUGCAGGGCUUUGGCAUUUGGGGCAGAAUCAGUCCCAAAUUGUCCAGCACUGCAGGAGUCAGCAACAUGGGCUGGGGUCACCUCAAGUUGCCAGGUGAGACCAGGGUGUUGUGCCUGUGGGCUAAACCUGCCUCUCCUUGCCAAAUAGGGGUAAAACAUAACCGCCCUAAAGUUGCAGCCCCUUCCCCGCAGACUCCAGUGCUGGGCAGGGAGAGAUGGGCAGAAGGUGCAAACUACCCUGCAUGGAUAGUCAUCAUUUCA